AGCACGCCGACGUUCCUCCUCCACCCGUGCUUUGACCGCAUCGCCUCUUUGCUGCGCAAUCAAAUCGCGCCGGCCAAGAAAUAGAGAGGUGAUGAUAGCAAUCCGGUGUUCCCGUGGGUUGCCAGUCUCCAUCUAUUUCGCGUCGAUUUGUAAGACCCCACCCAAAUUGACAACUUCUUCUCCGGUCACGGCGCCGGCGCGGGUCGGAUGGUGGGCAGGCAGCAGAGCGGACUCCCUCCAUCCGGGCCUAGGAUUCGUCGAUUCGCCUUUGGACACGGCCCAACUUCCGACGAACGCCUCCCCUUCCGUUCGUUUGGGCGUUGUCGUAACCAUUAUCUGCUGCAAAUUGAAACCGCCGGCGUCGUAAUCAUGGUGGUAUUGCCGUGCAUGUUCAUCUGAGAUUUUUAUUCAGAGGCCGCUCACAGCAACCUUCAUCUGCAACCAUGUGUUCUGGAUAGGUACACUCAUUCAUACAAUUUGAUCUUUAUCAAUCCAUUUUAAUAUUUCUUACAUCUAUUAUUUACUUUCAGUUUCUUCUUUACUAUCUGCGAGAUGUUCAAUGUGUAAUCCAAAUGAAAUACUCACUUGGGAGCUUGUGAGAUAUUCAGAAAUUUUCGUUGGUUAACCAUGUUGUUAUUUAUUCUCGUCAGAUGUUGCUUUCUAGAUUUGUUCUCUUGUCGAUUUGAGCCAGGGCGGGAGCACACAGCUUUUGCUUAAUUUGUUGAAGGAUUACUUACCUCCACCUUUGUUUGCGUGGUUGCAACCUUUAUACUUUAUUAAUCAAUGGGUAAUCCAUUCUUCAUAGACCCAACUGAGUGACUUAUGUAACCCUGCACUCUUGCAGUGCUUUGGUUUCUCAAGAAAGCUUGCAGAGUUUCUUAAAUUAUGUCAACUUGUUGUCGUGUUGUCAGCCUGUAUAAGAAGAGCCAUACAUGUUCUAUACUACCAAAAAAAUCAUCAUAUUUUUUCUCUUGCAACUUGAUGUGAUAAGUUUUUUGUAUUGAGAAACUAGGCUCUUGUCUUUGAAGUAGCAUGCGAUAGAACGUUCGAGUGCUGAGAAUGUGUAGGACAUGCACACUCCAUCCACAACAUGGAGCUCCUUGCGGCCAUGCUCCAGGUAUGAUUAUCACCCAUCUAAUGUGUUGUGCAUACUCAUAAAUAGCAGGAUUCACUUUAUCCUUGGAUGUAAACUUUCUAAUCUCGAGAAAGAUAUACCUAGCUUUCAUGCUUUGAAGUGUAUGGUCAUCUUAUAUAUAUGCUGCAUUUCCUGUAUUUAGUAAUACAAUCUGGGUAAAAGAUAGCUUGAAUGAUCUUAUGAGUACAUGUGUAAUUAAUUCCCUAUAUGUUAUUUUGGGAAAGAGUCAAAUCCAUAUAUACUAUAUUAUUGCUAUCGCAGUGUUAAAUUGUUGGUUGCUUGUAACUGAUAGUAAUUCUCAGUUCUGUGCUGAUCGAAAUAUCAGUUAUAAAGUUUUCUUAUUCUUUCAACAAGGUUACUAAUGGUCACCAAAGUUACAGCCAUUGUGGAGAUGUCAUCUAUUUUGUCUGGUCUAUAUAAAAUGUGAAUUGCGUUAUGUCAGUCUGCAAGUAUUCUACUGAUAUGUAUAUAUUCUGGCCCCACAUGCCAAUGAGUCAUUUUCACCGGUUCUAAUCUGGGUGAUUGAGUCCCAGCUAAUAAGGAGAAUGAUCCAUUGAUUGUUGCCAGAUAAGCUAUCGCAUAUUUACAUAUCCUUCUUAAUUUAACUAUAAAAUCUAUUAUUAUUUUACUCACAGUUUGUACUUUGAACAUAAUUCUGUACUGCCAGAUCCUUUUUCAAGACAUGCUCAAAAGGAAUAUUGCAUUUUGUUCAGUGGAACGUAUUCCCCAAAGUACAUGAUGCUGACCUUGGAAGAAUCAUCUUUGGUGAACUUCGAAGCAGAUCAUCUUCAAGCCAUAUCCAUCACGGGUUCUUAUCCUUCAGACUGAAAACUGGGGCAACAACUUCUUCGCGGAGGAAGAGCACGGAAUCAUCAAGCAUCCGGUCCGAGAGUAAAAACUAACUGGACACCAGUCAAUGACCAACAUGUGAUACACUUACCUUGUCCUGGAUGAAGAGCAAAGGAUGGCCAACCAUAAGCCUCGAGUUGCAAUAUAAGCAACAAUUGACAUUUGUAUUAUGUCAUCUCAACUUAUACUAUGGCAGUAGUAUAAGGAGAUACUGUAAAGUUUUAGCAACAUAACUGUUGGUCAAGUAAGUUGUUUAAUUAUAUAUCUACUUGGAAAAUAAUUCUAGGUAUGUGGACAGCUUGCAUCUUUUUUCGUGUUA
Molecule: long non-coding RNA, 2303 nt
Organism: Lolium rigidum
Lineage: Eukaryota; Viridiplantae; Streptophyta; Magnoliopsida; Poales; Poaceae
Exons: 3
Source: RefSeq, a predicted model, not a curated record